AUUUAAUCGAUAUUUAAAAAUUGGGUUGUUACACUUUCUCUCUCACUUAUAUUCUAGGUUUGGCUUAUGGAACUUCAGUACCAUCGUACCACCACCAUUGCAACUACUACACCACUCUCAAAUGUUAGACCCACCAUAACCAGACCCACUCCUCCCUUCUUCUCUCCAAAACAUGUCCAUCCGUCAUAUGCCUCCACACACCGACCAUUUUGUUGUCUCCCUUACCACAAUCUUCCACAAACAUCCACUCCUCUUUUUCUCCUCAUUUUGUCUUUCUUUCUUUCUCCAGAAUCGUUGUUGUAAUUAUUUCCUUAUGUCGACUUGAUUUGUGUGGAUCUAAAUCUGGUUAUAGAUAUGUAUGUCGAUUUGAAUUGGUUCUACAGCUGACCAUUUUCGAUGGACGGAACAUAUUGAUUUUGUUGUUUGAUUUAUAAGGCUUUCUUUAUAAAUGUCUUUCUUUAAUUUAUAGUUUUUUUUAUUUUUAUUUUUUUUAUUUUUACAAAUGAUUAUUCUUAGUUUUUUUUCUGCAUCUAAGAAACAAAUAGGAAGACGUGUUAACAGCUAAAAUAUCAUUUGUGUGUCUUUCUAUAUAAAGAUCCAGAAACAAACGGAAGAUGUGUUAACACCUUCGUCGGCGACCACCACCUCUACUAUACUUCACUGCAACAUCUUCGUCGUCUCAUCCCCAACAUCAAACAACCGCUACCAUUACUAUUUUCACAACAAAACCAUUACUAUGUCUUCGCCUUUACCUAUAUCAUUUCUAAAAAUCUCAUCACCUCUUCUUUUAUCACUCAAAUGGGUUAUUAGAUCUGAGAAAAUAAUUGGGUUUCUGAUCAUUUUGUGUGCGUAUGUAUAAAUCUGGGUUGUUCACAUGAUGUUCAAGUCUGUGUAUAUGUGUAUGUUUAUUUGAUCAAGAUGUGUGUUUGUUUUUUAUAUAGUUUUGUAGGUGUUUAGUAUAGAUUUUAGUGUUUUGUAGACAUAUCUUUGUAAAUUUUAUUUUGUAAAGAUUUAUUUUUGGUCGACAAUAUUAUUAUUAAUGUUCUUAACGGUAAA
This is a long non-coding RNA of Lactuca sativa (garden lettuce), 1056 nucleotides long. RefSeq lists it as uncharacterized. The record is from RefSeq and is a predicted model, not a curated record. Lineage: Eukaryota; Viridiplantae; Streptophyta; Magnoliopsida; Asterales; Asteraceae.